AAAUUGUGUCAACCCGUCGCAGCACGCAUCAGCUUGCGAAAAACGAGGAGUGCCGCAAGGAGCUCUGUGCUGUAGCAAGGAGCUUUUUUCGAGUUUCGAGGUGACCCGCCGAUCGAUGUCGGUAAAAGUCGGCAACACCCGAAGCUGAGGCCAUCUUGACCAUACGAAACCUCAACAAGAACUGAAGAGAACAUCAAAUUUAAAAUGGCCCCUGUUAUGAGGAGGUUGCUUCAAACCAACAUCAAGAAACAUCUGGUCAUCGCCAGUGUUCUCUGCGGCAUUUCCGUCGUCGUCACCGAGAAUGUCCUGAACAAGCCUAGGAAAGCGAAAUACGCUGAAUUCUAUAAGACCUACGAUGCCGAGCAAGACUUCCAGAGGAUGGUUAAAUGCGGAGUUUUCCAGUCUGUGAAGCCCUGAACUUGCAGCCAAUAGUUCCAGCAAAUAGAUAAAAAAAAUGUCAUUAUUCAAUUAAAAAGAUAUGUAAAUAAAUGUAAUAGACUCCUGUCAAGUUGUUUUUCCAAAAA
Molecule: long non-coding RNA, 524 nt
Organism: Neocloeon triangulifer
Lineage: Eukaryota; Metazoa; Arthropoda; Insecta; Ephemeroptera; Baetidae
Exons: 4
Source: RefSeq, a predicted model, not a curated record